CGAGAAAGUGGAGCAAUCCAUGAGUACAGUGGCGUACGGGUGAGUAACACGUGGGUAAUCUACCUCUUAGUGGGGAAUAACUUUGGGAAACCGAAGCUAAUACCGCAUAAGCUCGAGAGAGGAAAGCAGCAAUGCGCUGAGAGAGGAGCCCGCGGCCGAUUAGCUAGUUGGCAGGGUAAAAGCCUACCAAGGCAUAGAUCGGUAGCCGGCCUGAGAGGGCACACGGCCACACUGGCACUGAAACACGGGCCAGACUCCUACGGGAGGCAGCAGUGGGGAAUCUUGCACAAUGGGGGAAACCCUGAUGCAGCGACGCCGCGUGAGCGAUGAAGCCCUUCGGGGUGUAAAGCUCUUUCGGCAGGGAAGAUGGUGACGGUACCUGCAGAAGCAGCUGCGGCUAACUACGUGCCAGCAGCCGCGGUAAUACGUAGGCAGCGAGCGUUGUUCGGAGUUACUGGGCGUAAAGGGUGUGUAGGCGGUUGUUUAAGUUUGGUGUGAAAUCUCCCGGCUCAACUGGGAGGGUGCGCCGAAUACUGAGCGACUAGAGUGCGGGAGAGGAAAGUGGAAUUCCUGGUGUAGCGGUGAAAUGCGUA
RNAcentral lists this ribosomal RNA (593 nucleotides) under uncultured bacterium. RNAcentral describes it as "bacterial SSU rRNA". It matches the Rfam family "Bacterial small subunit ribosomal RNA", at positions 67 to 692 of the family's 1533-position model. The record is from RNAcentral.